Molecule: long non-coding RNA, 8227 nt
Filed under: Nicotiana tabacum (common tobacco)
Lineage: Eukaryota; Viridiplantae; Streptophyta; Magnoliopsida; Solanales; Solanaceae
Description: long non-coding RNA (NTAB_LNC006654)
Source: RNAcentral
AAUAAGUAUGAUAGAAAGCUUGGUAGAGAUACCUUUAAUGGUGGAUCUAAACUGUCACGACCCUAAAACUGACCCGAUCGUGAUGGCGCCUAACGUGAAAUUAGGCCAGCCGACACAAACCCCAAAACCAACCAGAAAUUCGUAAUAAGUCAUUUUAAGCUAUAAAUUAACUAUAAUCCCAUAAUGUAAGUUAAAAUAAGCAGUGCGAAAAUAUAACACAAGCCCGACAACGGGGUGUCACCAAUCAUGAGCAACUACAACUCAUCUAGGAACAAGAAAGGACAACAUAGUUCGAAAAUAAAAUACUAAGACAAUCUAAAUAAGACAGGAAGGAGAAGCACUGGGCUGCGAACGCCAAACAGCUACCUAGUCAACUCCGGAGACCUGUUGGAAGACUGAUCAGCACUCACUAUCGCGCCCCGAGACUCCUGGAUCGGCACAUAAGGUGCAGGGAGUAAUGUGAGUACGCCAACUCAGUAAGUAAUAAAAGUAAAAGCAACUGAGCAGUAAGAAAAUAAGAAAUUUCACGUCAUAGCACUACAACAAAACAAUAUAUGUGUAGAACAAUAUAGUAAAUCAAUAAAACUCGUAAAAACAACUCUAUUCAGUAAAACCUUUUUAAAACAUCUUUCAAUAGUUUCAAACGAGUGAUGAAAACAGUGAGUAAAAGGAUAGAAACAUAAACAACCCCUCGAGCAAAACAUGUACCACAACCGCUCCUCGGGCUAUCUCACAAUCACUCGUAAUCAUCCUCUCGGGCAACAACAUGAAACAACAACAGCCCCUUGGGCAAUAUCACAUCUCUCACACUGGUACCCGCGCUCACUGGGUACCCGCGCUCACUGGGGUGUUUAGACUCCGGAAGGGCUCCUACAACCCAAGCGUUAUCACAAGUCAUCUCGUGGCAUAACAAAUCAGGCCUUCGGCCUUUCAUAUAUCACAAAUCCGUACAACAUGCUGCGGCAUACAACCCGAUCCCAUAAUAUUCUCACAACACAGGCCCUCAGCCUCACUUAGUCAGAAAUCUCUCAAGCCCCCAUCGGGCAACAAUAAAACAUGAUGCUCAGCCCAAAAUAUCAUUAAAAAUAUCAAAACGGAGUAAAUACGGCUGAGUUAUGAAAACAGUAGGAUACAACAUGACUGAGUACAGAUAUUAAGUCAAAACAGUAAGGAAUAGCAGUAAAAAAAAAGCCCCUAAGGGUCCAAAACAGUUGGCACGAGGCCCAAAUAUGGCUUUCAGCCCAAAACGUGGUAAUACUUUCCAAAACACGAUGAUAUCAAACAGUUUUCAAUCAAAUACGCGACUUAACAAUCGUACGGGACGGACCAAGUCACAAUCCCCAACGGUGCACGACCCCACGCUCGUCAUCUAGCAUGUGCGUCACCUCAAAGUAACACAACGAUGUGAAAUCCGGGGUUUCAUACCCUCAGGACAACAUUUACAAUCAUUACUUACCUCAAUCCAGCCCAAACUCUAGCCCGUGAUGCCUUUUCCCCUCGAACCGGCCUCUAAAUGCUCCAUAUCUAACCAAAAUCAGUAUCAUACCAUUAAUAAGUGCUAAAGGAACCAAGCCUAAGCGAAAAUAAUCAAAUUAACUCAAAAAUUCCGAAAUUGGCCAAACCUGACCCCCGGGCCCACAUCUCGAAUUUCGAUAAAAAUCACAUCACUAAAAUCCUUAUCUUCCCACGAGUCCAUACAUACCAAGAACAUUAAAAUCGGACCUCAAGUGGUCCCUCAAAUCCCUAAUUUAUACUCUCUAAUUUCAAACUCUAAUUCCCCAAUUUUAGGCUUUAAAUCUCACUAAUUUCAUGUCUAAUUAGGUAAAAAUCACCAUAGAAUCGAGUAUUGAGUUCAAAAAUCUUACCUCCACGUGUUUCCCUUCGAUUCCCUCUUCAAUACCUCUCAAAAAGCUUCAAAAUCGCCCAACAAUGGUGGAAAAUAGACUAAAAUCCCAAAGGCAACUAUUUAAACAUUCUGCCCUGGGAUUAAUUCCUUCUUCGCGAACGUGGUAGCUCCCUCGCAUUCGCGAAGCACAAAAUUCCACUGACCAAAUAUUCCUUCUUCGCGAAUGCGACAUCCUCCACGCGAACACGAAGCUUCAACUGUCCAAGCCUUCGCGAACGCGACCUUACCUACGCGAACGCGAUGCACAAAACUCCUAGGGUCCCAGCUGCUCCAAUUACCUUACGCGAACGUGACUCCUCUCACGCGUUCGCGAUUCACUGGAAUCCAAACCUACGCGAAUGCAACUCAGGCUCGCGAACACGAAGAACAUUUUCUCCUCUAGGCCCAGCUCUUCUUCGCGAACGCAGGACUAUCUUCGCGAACGCGAAGAACAAUUUCUUCUGCAACAAAAACCAGAAAAUCUGCAAAUCUCCAAAACCAAGAAUUGGUCCGUUAACCACCUGAAACUCACCUGAGGCACUCAGGACCUCAACCAAACAUGCCAACACAUCCCAUAAUAUCAUUCAAACUUAUUCCAACCUUCGGAAUGCUCAAAACAAUAUCAAAACAUCAAAUCACCCUCAGAUUCAAGCCUAAGAAUUCCAAAAACUUCCAAAUUCCGUUUUUGAUCAAAAAGUCUAUCAAACCUCGUCCAAAUGACCUGAAAUUUUGCACACACGUCCCAAAUGAUACAACGGACCUACUCCAAUUUCCGGAAUUCCAUUCCGACCCUUAUAUCAAAAUCUCCACUACCAACCAGAAAACGCCAAAAUUCCAAUUUCGCCAAUUCAAGCUUAAAUCUAUCCUGGACCUCCAAAAUACUUUCCGAUCACGCUUCUAAGUCCUAAAUCACCUCACAAAGCUAUCCGAACCAUAAAAAUUAAGUUCUGGGAUCAUUUACUCACAAGUCAACUUUCGGUUGACUUUUCCAACUAAAAGGCCAACUUAAGAGAUUAAGUGUCUCAUUUCUCUACAAAACCACUUCGAACCCAAACUAACCAACACGAUGCAAUGAAAUACAGCUGAACAACACAUAAAGAAGCAAAAAUGGAGAAAACGAAGCGGUAACUCAUGAGACGACCGGCCGGGGCGUUACAUCAACACUGAGAAGAAGGUAGGACUACAGUUUGCAAGGAUAAUAGUAGAGAUGGAGUUGGAUGCUCAACUACCUGAUACGCUGUUAUUUAGAAAUGAGAAAGGUCAGCUCAUUGAACAAAGAGUGAGCUAUAAUUGGAAACCAACUAUGUGUACCUAUUGCCAUGCCUAUGGGCACGUAGAGGAGGUAUGUAAGAAGAAGAAUAAGCCAGUUGUGCAACAGGAUAGGGCAGUGUCAACAACAGAGUUAGUGCAAAAGAAGUAGUAGGAUAAUGAAGCAGGGGAGAUAAAAAAGGGUAAGGAACAGACAGAAGUGCUUCAGAAACAAGCAUCAACUAGUUAUGAAUGGAUCACUCCUCUAAGAACUGGAAGAGGCCCACCUAAACAGAUUUGACAAAUUGAAAAGUCCAACUCUUAUCAAAUUUUGGAUAAGCCUGCAAAUGUCAGCCUUGUACAAACUGCUAUCAAAAGUGUCAGUGGGAGAAAGGGGGAGGAGGAACCAUGCCCUAUACUAGGAAUGGUUAACUUAUUGUGUUGGAAUGUUAGGGGCUUGAAUGCCCCAAAUAAGCAGAAGGAAGUUAAAAUCCUUUGCACUGAAGCUAAGGCUGGUAUAGUAGGUUUGUUAGAAUAAAAAUAAAGAAGAAUAAGAUUGAACAAAUUGAUGGUAGUUUGUUUAGAGGUUGGCAUUAUAUUAUCAAUCUUGAAGCACACUAUAAUGGUAGAAUUUGGUUGACAUGGAGACAUGAUUACUAUGAUGUAGUUCCUACAAAUAUUACUGCCCAAAAUGUGACUUGUGAGGUGACUUACAUUCCACUACAACUGACUUUUCUGCUCACAGUGGUAUAUGCCUUCAAUACAAAGAAGAAAGAAGAGAGUUAUGGGAUAGUAUUAUGUAACAACAUGGAGUUUGUUCUAGACCUUGGCUCAUAUUAGGAGAUUUUAAUGCAGUAUUAACAUAGGAGGAUAGAAUAUGAGGUAAUCAAGUCACUUGGGCAGAAGUGAUGGAGUUCAGGAAUUGUGUGGAUUAUUAUGGUUUGAUUGAGCUUCCUCAACAGGGCAACAGAUACACUUGGAAUGAUAAAAACUCUAAAUAGAGAAUAUUUUUCAAGAUUGAUUGGGCUUUCAUCAAUGACAAAUGGCUUGAUAUAAUGUCAGCUUGUCAAUAUAAGUUUCUACUUGAAGGAAUAAGUGAUCACUGCCCUAUGCAGUUAACUUUAGAAGGGAUUAAGAAAAGAAGGAAGAAAUGUUUUCAGCACUACAAUGUAUAGGAUCAGCAUCAUUUGUUUGACAUCACUGUCAAGGCUGGGUAGGAGGUGCAGAUUGAAGGGUGCAAAAUGUUGAGAGUUGAAAGAAGAUUGAAGCUGUUAAAGAAAGGACUGAAGCAACUAAAUUCAAAGUACUUCAAGGACUUAGUAAAUGAAGUAGAAGAGAUUAGGGAGGAACUCAGGAGGAUACAGGAGAAGCUACAAGCAAAUCCACUGGAUAAGGGCAUGCAGCAGAAGGAAAGAGAGGUGUAUCUACAGUUUAGAAAGAUUUCACAUAUGGCAGAAAUCUACUUACAACAGAAAAGCAAAGCUACUUGGCUAAGAUUGGGAGAUGACAAUACAAGGUAGUUCCAUGCUGUGAUUAAAUACAGGAGAAUGAAAUUAGCUACAACACAGAUAAGGGAUGAACAAGGCAAUUGGCAGAAUGAUCCAGAUGACAUAGCUUAGGUAUUUGUAGACUAUUAUGAGAACUUACUGGGAAAGACCACAAAUGCUAGAGUUAGAACUUUCAGCAACUUUAUGAAAAGAGGGCCAGUGCUACCCUUAGAGCAAUAAGUAAGCUUAAUCAGACCUUAUUCCGGGAAAGAAGUCAAAGAAGCAAUGUUUCAACUUUGACAAAAAUAAGAGUCGUAGACCAGAUGGCUUUGGUAGUAGGUUCUAUAGAUCAGCAUGAGGAAUUGUAGGAGCAGACAUCACUGAAGCUGUCCUAGAGUUCUUUGAGAAUGGUCAAUUCCUGAAACAACUAAACACAACCAACAUUGCACUGAUUCCUAAGGUGGAUAGGCCUGAGUAUGCUAGCCAUUACAGACCUAUUUCUUGUUGCUAUGUCUUGUACAAGUGUAUAUCUAAGAUGGUAUGCAACAGAUUGAAGCAGACCAUAAGCCACAUUGUGGCUGACAAUCAAGCAGCAUUUGUUCAGGGUAGAUCCAUGAUAUAUAAUGAGCUAACAUUCCAUGAUCUAUUGAGGCAUUACAGUAGAAAGACUUCUGCAAGGUGUCUUAUGAAAAUUUAUCUAAGGCAGGCUUAUGAUAUGGUGGACUGGGGAUUUUUUGAGGAAGUUCUGAUUUGGUUUGGGUUCCCAUAGAGAUUCAUUCACUUGAUUAUGGUAUGUGUAACAACUACCAAAUUCUCUAUCAAAGUAAAUGGUGAAGGACAUGGUUAUUUUGAGGGGAGAAGGGGACUAAGGCAGGGAGAUCCUAUGUCUCCUCUACUAUUUGUGAUAGUAAUGGAAUACAUGUCUAGAGUUCUAUCAACUAUGAGUGAACUCCUAGAUUUUCAAUUUCAUCCCAUGUGCAAACAGUUGAAGCUAACACAUUUGAUCUUUGCAAAUGAUAUCAUGAGCUUCUGCAAAGGUAAUCUGGCAUCAGUUACUAGGGUGGUUGAAGCUUUAAAUCAUUGUAGUGAGGCAUCAGGACUUAUUGCUAAUCAGGAUAAAUCUUAUAUCUUCAUUGCUGGGUGGAUGAAUUGACAAAGGAGUAGUUGAUAGCAAAAACAGCAUUCGCCCAAGGUUAUUUAACAAUUAAAUAUCUUGGUUUUCUCCUUUCAUCAAAGAAAUGGAACAAAUUGGACUGCAUUCAGCUAGUAGACAUAAUAACCAAGAGGAUAAAACUUGGCUACUCAAAGCAACUUUUAUAUGCAGGCAGACUGCAGGUGGUUAACUCUAUGUUAUUUUCCAUUUAUAACUUCUGGAGUGCAGUAUUCAUUUUGCCUCAAACAGUGUGGAUAGAAUAUAUAGGUAUUACCUAUGGGGGAAUACUGAAGACAGAAAAAAGCUGGCACUGGUGGCAUGGGAAAGAAUAUAUUUUCCUAAUAGGUUUGGAGGGUUGAAUGUUAAAGGUAGUAAACUAUGGAAUGUGGCCUAUGUUGAGAAAUUAUUAUGGCAACUUCUCAAUAACAAGGAAGCUCUAUGGGUGAAGUGGGUGCAUAUAUGAAAACUGAUACCAAUAACUGGACCCAUAAAAUCCCGUUCGGCUGUAAUUGGUAUUGAAGAAAAUUAACUCUCCGAAGGAGGACAUGCAUGAGUGGUUUAUACAAGGUGCACUCUGAGUAGGGGUGGUGGCUAUUCCAUAACGAGGAGCUACAUUGCCUUAUUAGGGGGAAUACAAGGACUGCAUAUAGCAGAUUUGAUAUGGACAGGUAGCACAACCAAAACACAGGUUGUCACGACCCAUUUUCUGAACAAGCCGAGACCGGCACUCGAUCACUAAACAUGACCGAGCGAACCAUCUUUACUUAUCAACCCUAUUAUAACUCCAAACUUUAUAUGCAACAAAGCAAUACUCUAAACAAAUACUUUUGAUCAAUUCAAAUAUUUAAAUAAAUCAACUCGAAAGCUUUAUUCGUAGUAACUACUGAAUUACUGCUAAGUUAUUAUAAAAUAACACCUGAAUCUCAACCCAAUGACUAUGUCUAUGAAGCCUCUACUGAUAAACUGACGCACUGCUCAGGACAUGAGAUUUUCUGGCCAAUUCUCUAAUUAAACAAAAAAAUAGCUAAAUGAAAAUGACUCUAAGAAUACUCCACGAACAAAAGCGGAGCUCACCAAUAUCACUGGAAGGGAAGGAAAUCCUAACUCGUAGCCUGCUCGCCUGCAAAUCCGGUUCCUACGUUGUACCGCAGACCAACGUAGGUUCCCAAAAGAGAACGUCAGUACCAUCCACUGUACUCAGUGAGUCUCAACAACAGGGGGAGAAACCUUUAAUAACAUAUACAUUACGAGCAAAGGUUCUAAAUGCAUGUAAAACAUAAAGCUUAUAAGAAUAAUUCUAAAAUAAUUGCAUAAUAGCAAUUUAUGAAUAUUCUAAAAGAAAUUCUCUUUUUUUUCUUUCUUUAAAAAAAAUACUUCAUUUUAUACUUUGGGAGUUCCAACUAUCCUGACUUAAUUCUGUCUCAGUCACCGUGUGAUCAGCACGGGUUCGAUCCCAACCUGAUCGAAUAGGCCCAAUCCACGAGGUGUGACUCGCUUCAUGGUUCUCAGCACUCAUGUAUCAUACCUUAGCAUGGCUAAGUAAAUUCUCAGCAAUGAGACCCUCAGCUCGUAUGCUCCCUACUUUGGCACAAGUAGUCUCAGGAAGUCAACGCUUUGGUCAGGACCCUCGGCCUGGACGAUGACCCCUUCUCAGAAUAAAGGAUACUCCCCAAAAAUCUUUUCUUUCUAAAACUUCUUCUUGUGACUUUUCAAGUCUAAAUCUUUUCUUUAUAGAACAUUAUGUACGUGCUCAUAUUGGUGUCCUUAAACGUAAAGCAUGACAUAAGAAUGAAAUAAACAUAUAAAAAUAUUUCCAAAGAUUCUCUCUUCUUCAUAAUUUUCAACAUGAAAAUAGAAUAUAAGAACAACACAAAAAUCUGAAAAUUUAAGCACAUAUAGCAUAAUAGAUCAUCUAAACUUUUGCUAAAACAAUUCUAAAUUAAUGGGUACUCACUCGCUCUAAUUAAAUAAAGAUAAACUCUUUUAAGUAAUUCAUCAAACACCUUGUAUGCGUGCUUUUGUGAGUUAAACCACUUUAGUAAAGGGUUAUAUCAACUCACCUCAAAAUUUCUCGAACCAAUACGUAGGUCCCAGUCCAAUUGAUACCAGUCAAAUAAUCGAUUCUACAACAACCAGUGUAUUUUAAUCAGUUUUAAAGUACUACACCUAAAUAUGAAAUUUAUUGAUGAUAUAGAGGAAGAAGGGAAUUAACUACUCAAUUCUUAGCUAAUACUACUGUAGGGUACUUGACAAUAAGGAAUUUUAUAUACCUGAGUUCAAGGAUUAGUGGUUUGUAAGGAACCCUUGAAUUUUCUAUUUCUCUGCUGCGUUUGCUGCGUUUGCUGCGUUAAAAAGCAGCGUUCUGUUUUUUGUUUUUUUAGAAAAAGUGUUCUGUUUCUCUUUUGCUAUAAGACUUUGUUUAAGUCUUAUAUUUCACAACCCUUUUGGGCUAGG